UACAGAGGUCCCAAGCGUUGUUCGGAUUCAUUGGGCGUAAAGGGUGCGUAGGCGGCGCGGUAAGUCGGGUGUGAAAUCUCGGGGCUUAACUCCGAAACUGCAUUCGAUACUGCUGUGCUUGAGGACUGGAGAGGAGACUGGAAUUUACGGUGUAGCGGUGAAAUGCGUAGAUAUCGUAAGGAAGACCAGUGGCGAAGGCGGGUCUCUGGACAGUUCCUGACGCUGAGGCACGAAGGCCAGGGGAGCAAACGGG
Molecule: ribosomal RNA, 253 nt
Filed under: uncultured bacterium
Lineage: Bacteria
Description: partial 16S ribosomal RNA
Rfam family: Bacterial small subunit ribosomal RNA
Source: RNAcentral